UCCCUGGUGGUCCAGUGGUUAGGACUCUGUGCUCUCACUGCAGAGAUCUGGGUUCAAUCUCUGGUUGGGGAA
Non-coding RNA from Bos taurus (domestic cattle), 72 nucleotides. The record is from Rfam. NCBI's taxonomy places the organism in Eukaryota, Metazoa, Chordata, Mammalia, Artiodactyla, Bovidae.